Doryrhamphus excisus (bluestripe pipefish) is the source of this 600-nucleotide non-coding RNA. The record is from RefSeq and is a predicted model, not a curated record. Lineage: Eukaryota; Metazoa; Chordata; Actinopteri; Syngnathiformes; Syngnathidae.
AUAGGAGACAAACAUACAUGAGACGCAAAGAAUAGGAGACAAACAUAUAUGAAAUCCUUCAAGCUGCGUUCACGGUGAUGGACAGAGGUAGGAAAAAAAUGAUCGAAUGACCUCUUUUAUACGUGAUUCUACGACGAUGUGAUGGGCGUGGAAUUCUUGGACACUGGACAGUUGUCAUGUAUUAUUGGAUGCUCCACAUGUGGGCAUGGCACAGCGGCAAACUGUUGUAUUUGAUUCUGGCGUUGUUUGAAGGUUCAAACGAUGCAUUCAUGGCCCUUUGAUCAUCUGUUGGAAUCUCAGAAUGAAACACCUGUGCAGGCCGUCCGUUGCAGCAAAGACACCCGACAGUGUAUAAAUGGACAUUUUGUCAUACUGUCGAGACAGUUACAUCGAUAUUACUGCUGCGAAAAUGGCACAUUUCUCGUCUCCUGCAAGGUUUAUCAGCAUAGAUGACCCCGAGGUGGACUCCAUCAGGAGCCAGUGCCAGGUGUUGAGUUAUUCAUGCAGAGAUCGCAGUGUGCCCGGGGUUGAAUGAAAUCAACAAUGUGUGGAGGUGAGCCAUGACAUUAUGGCCUAUGUGACCAGGGAGAUGGAGCAGAA